Molecule: ribosomal RNA, 918 nt
Filed under: uncultured bacterium
Lineage: Bacteria
Description: bacterial SSU rRNA
Rfam family: Bacterial small subunit ribosomal RNA
Source: RNAcentral
AGAGUUUGAUCCUGGCUCAGGAUGAACGCUAGCUACAGGCUUAACACAUGCAAGUCGAGGGGAAACGAUAGAGAAAGCUUGCUUUUUCUAGGCGUCGACCGGCGCACGGGUGAGUAACGCGUAUCCAACCUGCCCACCACUUGGGGAUAACCUUGCGAAAGUAAGACUAAUACCCAAUGAUAUCUCAAGAAGACAUCUGAAUGAGAUUAAAGAUUCAUCGGUGAUGGAUGGGGAUGCGUCUGAUUAGCUUGUUGGCGGGGUAACGGCCCACCAAGGCUACGAUCAGUAGGGGUUCUGAGAGGAAGGUCCCCCACAUUGGAACUGAGACACGGUCCAAACUCCUACGGGAGGCAGCAGUGAGGAAUAUUGGUCAAUGGGCGAGAGCCUGAACCAGCCAAGUAGCGUGCAGGAUGACGGCCCUAUGGGUUGUAAACUGCUUUUAUAAGGGAAUAAAGUGAGUCUCGUGAGACUUUUUGCAUGUACCUUAUGAAUAAGGACCGGCUAAUUCCGUGCCAGCAGCCGCGGUAAUACGGAAGGUCCGGGCGUUAUCCGGAUUUAUUGGGUUUAAAGGGAGCGUAGGCCGGAGAUUAAGCGUGUUGUGAAAUGUAGAUGCUCAACAUCUGCACUGCAGCGCGAACUGGUUUCCUUGAGUACGCACAAAGUGGGCGGAAUUCGUGGUGUAGCGGUGAAAUGCUUAGAUAUCACGAAGAACUCCGAUUGCGAAGGCAGCUCACUGGAGCGCAACUGACGCUGAAGCUCGAAAGUGCGGGUAUCGAACAGGAUUAGAUACCCUGGUAGUCCGCACGGUAAACGAUGGAUGCCCGCUGUUGGUCUGAAUAGGUCAGCGGCCAAGCGAAAGCAUUAAGCAUCCCACCUGGGGAGUACGCCGGCAACGGUGAAACUCAAAGGAAUUGACGG